CUUCCGUAGGUGAACCUGCGGAGGGAUCAUUACCGAGUUUACAACUCCCAAACCCAAUGUGAACGUUACCAAACUGUUGCCUCGGCGGGGUCACGCCCCGGGUGCGUCGCAGCCCCGGAACCAGGCGCCCGCCGGAGGAACCAACCAAACUCUUUACUGUAGUCCCCUCGCGGACGUUUUUACUUACAGCUCUGAGCAAAAAUUCAAAAUGAAUCAAAACUUUCAACAACGGAUCUCUUGGUUCUGGCAUCGAUGAAGAACGCAGCGAAAUGCGAUAAGUAAUGUGAAUUGCAGAAUUCAGUGAAUCAUCGAAUCUUUGAACGCACAUUGCGCCCGCCAGUAUUCUGGCGGGCAUGCCUGUCCGAGCGUCAUUUCAACCCUCGAACCCCUCCGGGGGGUCGGCGUUGGGGAUGCGGGAACCCCUAAGACGGGAUCCCGGCCCCGAAAUACAGUGGCGGUCUCGCCGCAGCCUCUCCUGCGCAGUAGUUUGCACAACUCGCACCGGGAGCGCGGCGCGUCCACGUCCGUAAAACACCCAACUUUCUGAAAUGUUGACCUCGGAUCAGGUAGGAAUACCCGCUGAACUUAAGCAUAUCAAUAAGCGGAGGAA
Molecule: ribosomal RNA, 610 nt
Filed under: Trichoderma strigosum
Lineage: Eukaryota; Fungi; Ascomycota; Sordariomycetes; Hypocreales; Hypocreaceae
Description: eukaryotic LSU rRNA
Rfam family: 5.8S ribosomal RNA (bases 218-371)
Source: RNAcentral